GAGCGGUCGAAGCCGACCAAUCGUUCGCGAAACGCAUUUCUUUGGACCAAAAUUGACAUUUCUUUCGCAUUAUUUAGCUUGUGGUAAAUGUUUUUCCGAAGAUUUAAACUGUACCACCUCCAAACCGAGAUAUUUUGGAUCCCUAAAUGUGUACGUUAGCUUCACAGUAGCAUCGCAACUGUUAGCAUGCUGGCUAGCAUA
Molecule: long non-coding RNA, 201 nt
Organism: Hippocampus zosterae (dwarf seahorse)
Lineage: Eukaryota; Metazoa; Chordata; Actinopteri; Syngnathiformes; Syngnathidae
Exons: 2
Source: RefSeq, a predicted model, not a curated record